This 468-nucleotide ribosomal RNA is filed under the name uncultured bacterium. RNAcentral describes it as "partial 16S ribosomal RNA". It matches the Rfam family "Bacterial small subunit ribosomal RNA", at positions 28 to 507 of the family's 1533-position model. The record is from RNAcentral.
GACGAACGCUGGCGGCGUGCUUAACACAUGCAAGUCGAACGGAAAGGCCCUGCUUUUGUGGGGUGCUCGAGUGGCGAACGGGUGAGUAACACGUGAGUAACCUGCUCUUGACUUUGGGAUAACUUCAGGAAACUGGGGCUAAUACCGGAUAGGAGCUCCUGCUGCAUGGUGGGGGUUGGAAAGUUUCGGCGGUUGGGGAUGGACUCGCGGCUUAUCAGCUUGUUGGUGGGGUAGUGGCUUACCAAGCGUUUGACGGGUAGCCGGCCUGAGAGGGUGACCGGCCACAUUGGGACUGCGAGACGGCCCAGACUCCUACGGGAGGCAGCAGUGGGGAAUAUUGCACAGUGGGCGGGAGCCUGAUGCAGCAACGCCGCGUGCGGGAUGACGGCCUUCGGGUUGUAAACCGCUUUCGCCUGUGACGAAGCGGGAGUGACGGUAAUGGGUAAAGAAGCACCGGCUAACUACGUU